RNAcentral lists this long non-coding RNA (221 nucleotides) under Elaeis guineensis (African oil palm). Its description in RNAcentral is "long non-coding RNA (EGUI_LNC049245)". Lineage: Eukaryota; Viridiplantae; Streptophyta; Magnoliopsida; Arecales; Arecaceae. The record is from RNAcentral.
CAUCCGAGCUUCUACAGUAAGCAGCCUUCUUUCAGACUCCUACAAGAAUCAGACUCCAUCCGAACUUCUACAGUGGUUGGAUUCCAGACGAACUUCUACAACGGAUGGGCUCCAGCAGUCGGAUUUCUACAGUGACCGACUGUCUCCGAUGUCUUCCGUACCUCUCCAGCCACCAACCUUCACCAACGCCAGCCGACCUUCCACAGUGUCCUCCAGACUCU